This 800-nucleotide ribosomal RNA is filed under the name Paramecium putrinum. Its description in RNAcentral is "LSU rRNA". It matches the Rfam family "Eukaryotic large subunit ribosomal RNA", at positions 118 to 894 of the family's 3401-position model. Lineage: Eukaryota; Ciliophora; Oligohymenophorea; Peniculida; Parameciidae. The record is from RNAcentral.
AAAUCUGUGCUAUACAGGCAUAGAAUUGUAAUCUAAAGGCCUUUUAGGGAAGUCAUGGUUCUAGCAUAAGUUCCUUGAAAAGGGAGGUCAUAGAGGGUAAAAACCCCGUGUUAGGCUAGGACUGGACGUACCGAAGGGUUCAAAGAGUCGGGUUGUUUGGGAUUGCAGCCCUAAUUUGGAGAUAAACUUCUUCUAAAGCUAAAUAUUUAUGGGAAACCGAUAGCAAACAAGUACUACGAAGGAAAGAUGAAAAGAACUUUGAAAAGAGGGUUAAAAGACUUGAAAUCGUUGAGAAGAAAAGCGGUAGAAGAGAAAUGAUUUCACGAAGCAGUACGGGCUGAUGCGGAGCAAUCCGGGGGUAAGGUACUUAAUAGGGCCUGCCUUUGGAUAAGUAGACGCAUAAGUUCCUUUGCCCAGUGAAGUGCAAGAUGAGAGUCUGUUCGGGGAAAAGUGGUUGGGAAGACUCAGGCCUUGAUGCUUGAAGCCCAGCUAACAUGUCCGAAUAGGCUCUGAGGGAUCCAACUGGAGAUCUUGCAAAAAAGGCUUCUACUGACCCGUCUUGAAACACGGACCAAGGAGUCUACCCCAUAUGCGAGUUUUAGGGUGGAAAAACCCGAAAGCGUAACGAAAGUGAGUAUAAGAUGUGAGUCCGCAAGGAUGCAGCAUCGGCCAACCUCGAUUUUCGAAUGAAGGGAUUGAGCAAGAGCAUAUUUGGUAGGACCCGAAAGAUGGUGAACUACGCUUGAGUAGGGCGAAGCCAGGGGAAACUCUGGUGGAGGCUCGAAGCGUUACUGACGUGC